Molecule: ribosomal RNA, 403 nt
Filed under: uncultured bacterium
Lineage: Bacteria
Description: partial 16S ribosomal RNA
Rfam family: Bacterial small subunit ribosomal RNA
Source: RNAcentral
GACGAACGCUGGCGGCGUGCCUAAUACAUGCAAGUCGAACGCAGUGGGGACGGGUGAGUAACACGUGGGUAACCUGCAAUAAGAGGGGAUAACACUUGGAAACAGGUGCUAAACUGAUAUUGAUGGAUGGACGCGCGGUGAAUUGGCUAGUUGGUGGGGUAACGGCCCACCAAGGCCACGAUGCAUAGCCGACCUGAGAGGGUGAUCGGCCACACUGGAACUGAGACACGGCCCAGAAUCCUACGCGAGGCAGCAGUAGGGAAUCUUCGGCAAUGGACGAAAGUCUGACCUAGCAACGCCGCGUGAGUGAAGAAGGUUUUCGGAUCGUAAAGCUCUGUUGGUAGAGAAGCGUUAUCUAACGAGAAAGCCACGGCUAACUACGUGCCAGCAGCCGCGGUAAUUC